Long non-coding RNA from Salvia miltiorrhiza (redroot sage), 620 nucleotides. RefSeq lists it as uncharacterized. The record is from RefSeq and is a predicted model, not a curated record. NCBI's taxonomy places the organism in Eukaryota, Viridiplantae, Streptophyta, Magnoliopsida, Lamiales, Lamiaceae. The transcript has 2 exons.
CUGGUGAAGUUUUUAAAUCGAGUCAGUGCAGAAUGAAGUUUGUUUGCGACAUGUCUAUGUGUGAAUUGAUAUGCUUAUGUGUUUAUGCUUGUUUAUGUGCUUGAUUGCUAUGAGUUUGAUCUGAGUUGAGUGUUAAGUCGAGAAUAGGACGUGUGAAUCUUUAGAAGUUAAGUAAACCUAGGGAUUGAGAUUUAUUGGGUAAAUAGAAGAUGAGUGAGAAGUAUUAGUUUGAGACGAGAUUGGUUUUAGUAACGAGUUCUAACUAAGGUUUGUUUUAUCACAUGAACCUUCGAUGACGAUGAUGAUGAUAUAUGAAGGCCCGAGCGAGAUGAAGAAGUAAGUCGCCUGUUUUCCUUUCCAAGUUGAGCGAAGGACUUCAGGCUAAGCGAGGAGCGAGAUUGGUCUGGUGCUGGUGGGGGAUUGUUUAGUUGAUGUAUUUACUUUAUCGCAUUUCCAUUUUUGUCGAUACAGUCUUGAUGAUUGAGUUACUUUGUUUUCUUUUGAAUCAAGCAAUGUACUCUCGGUUAUGUGUCUUCAUACAUAUAAUCGGUUCGCCUUUUACUGCAAUACUCUGAAUUUUAUGAUUCCUUAUGAAAAAUAAACUAUACCCGCUUUGUUUU